ACUGCUUAGGUUCCUUAGCCUUGUAUAAGUGCCCAAGACCUUCCCAAUGCAAAACCAAUGUGAGAUUAAAUAUAUGCUAGCAUGGGCUCUCACAUACUCCUAUUUAAGCCCUAGCAUCCUCGUCGCGCUAAAGGUAUAAGUUUAAUCACACAUCGAUCAAGUUUAGUUAUAAACACCACGAUCGACCUAUAGUCAGUCUCGAAAGAGCCCAUGUUGUAGUGUCCCCUAAUCUAUAUAAGCUAUGUGCCUAAUCCACUCUGAUACCAUUUUGACAACCUAAGAUCAUCCUAACUAAGAUGUUAUAUGUGUUCCUUCAAGGUCUGCGGAACUGUCCCAAAUCGCCUGUUUCGGGGUGUCCCGGGCUAUACCGGUAGCGGACCAGGAUGAUUUCGGCAUUGAAAUUGAGAUGCCGUCACCGGAGGGAGAGAAGGAGAAAAAAAGGAGGAAAAGAGAGAGAGAGCGGGGAAGGGAGGAAGAGGGAAGGAAGGAAGGGAGGCUAGCUGGGGAGCCUCCGCGCGGAGGAGGCGGAGGCCGAGGAGAUGCGGAGGCGGGGCUCUGCCUCUGAUCCCCUGUUUCGUUCGAAACAGGGGCCCAGAGGGGACCCCUUUUAUUUUUGCAUUUUUUAAGUUAAAGUCGGCAAACUUAAAAAAAUGCAAAAAUAAAAAGGCCCCCCUUCGGGCUCUUGUUUCGAACGAAACAGGAGACCGGGGGUGGAGCCCAACCUCCGUGUCUCCCCAGCCUCCGCCUCCUCGUGCAGAGGCUUCCCGGCCUUCGCCAGCCAGCCCCGGUGGCAUCUCUCUUCCUUCCUCUCUCUCUCCCUCCCUCGUCCGCUCUCUCUCUCUCUCUUUCUCUCUCGUUCUCCCUCUUCCCUAUUUCCUCUACUGUGUCAGUACGGGCCUAGCACGGCACGGUACGGCGUGGGCCCGUACCGAUUCAUCCCGCUAGACAACCGGUACAGUGCCUGGCACUGGUUCUGCCAACGUUGUGUUCCUUGGUCCUAUAUAAAUAUCCAAGAUUUGGAGAUUUAAUUAGUGAAUAGGCCAAUAUGGGUCUAAACGCAUGCUUGCAUGGGCUCUCAUAAAAUUAAGACAAGAAACCAUACAAAAGAGGAUAGUUACUGUUGAAAAUAACCACCAAUCUACAACAUAAGAAGAGGAAGAAGGCUUCAUUCGCUAUCUCACUCUACAUAUGGACAUUUGACUAUCUCAAUAUAGAUAAGGCUUUUAUGCCUUUCGUAUGUACCACGAUGAGCGUCGAGAGGAUUUUGCAUCCCUAACCUUAGUCCAAAGUACUCAAAUGUGAAGUCUUGUUCCACCUUGUAGAAGAUUGAGCAUUAAGAGGUUUCUGCAUCCUUGGCUCUUAUCAACAACUAAGUUCUCCUACACAAAAGCCAUUCCACCCUAGAGAAUCUAUCUUGUACUCAGUUACUUUUCUUUCAUGUAAUUAAUCUCUUAUUGUUUAGUUUAUUUACCUGUAGUUAUUCCUUACUUGUUUUCUUUCUUUGCAAUAUUCUCUUCUUAUUAGAAAUCUGAAAUCCUUUUACUAAAGCAUAUUGAACCCUAUCUCCUUAUCAAUCUAAUUCUACCAGUCAAUCUAAUUGAUCUAGCACACCGGCAUCUCCAUUGACCCCUAGUUGAUGUCGGGAAAUAUUUUUUGGUAUUCCCAGUGGGAUAUAAUAGGAUAGAAUGUCAAAGAAGAACAAAGGCAAUUAGCCAAGGUGAAACAUUCUAAGGGAAUGAUCAUAUGAGAAUGUUGAAGCUCUAACCAGAAGUGGCCAAAACUUCUCAACAAGGCCACUGAUUUGCCCAAUGGAGAACACAUAAUGCUAAAUUUGAAGGCCAUGAAAUGGCUAAUGUAUCACGUAGCAAGAUUCUCUUUCAUGAUUAAUUUAUAAUAUUAACUACUGCUGCUCUUCAAGAAGUGAUUUGGCAUUUAGUGAGAAUGAUACCGUGUAUAAUUAUCUAGUAAAAAAUAUUAGAAUUUAGCCAUUAGAAGAUUUAAGCAACUUCAAAUAAGAUACAAUGUAUUUUGGCUAGAUUAUCUCAAGCUACAGAAAUCUAUUGUUAGUCUGACAUAAGGUUAUUCACUUAUUGAUUGGUCUCACGUGAAUUGGAAAAAUGGAAAUGGUUGAUUGCUUGAAAUGGCCAAAUCAAUGGUCGUUACCAAAAUAUGCCCUAUAUGUAAAAACUCCUUGGGAUAAAUAUUCAAAAUAUAAGAUUGAUUCAUAUAAAUAUUGAUCGUAUGAAUAUAUCCUCUAAUCUUAAAUUUGGGGGCAUAUUCAUUCAGAGUUCGUUCACCUAAAGAUUGACCAUAAGACUUUAUGUCUAAUUCUAAACAUGGGACUAGGAGACAUAUUCAUUCAGAUCAUAUGGUCAAUUCACCUAAAGAUUGAACAUAUGAUUAUAUGUUCACUAAUCGUAAACACGGAGGGUAAAGAUUGAAUUACCAAAAAAUUGAUUCUAUGGAUAUGUGUCCUCCAAUCCUGAAAAAUGGGGAUUAUAGUUAUUUAAAUGAUAUUGUUAGUUUAAUCAAAACUCAACCAUAUAGGAGUGAACAAAUUUAUUGCAAGAUCAAAAAUUAUCUAAAGAUCUUGAACAACACCUAGAAAAAGUUAAUCCUCAAGCAGCAAAAAUAAUUCAGGAGUAUUGGUUGAAUUUAAUUGAAAGAACCAAUCAACCAAAUGCAAAAGUGAAAAAAAAAACCAAUAACAAUUGAUUGAUCAAGUCCUGGAAAGGCCAUUUGACUAAUAAUGGAUGAUCAAGGCCUCGAAAGGCUAAUCAACCAAGGCCUAGAAAGGCAAAUGGACCACUAAAGACUAAUUGAUCAAGACCUAGAAAGGACAAUCAAUCAAUAAUGGCUGAUCAACCAAGGCCUAGAAAAGCCAAUUGAUCAAGAGAGAUUGAUCAAACAAAGCCAAAGAAGGCUAAUCAACCAAAAAUCGUCAAUUGACCAUGGAAUACUAGUCAGCCAAAACAUUUCUUCCUGUUGACCAAUAAUAAUAGCAUGGAUCAUGAUGAUCGAUCAUGUACCAUCACUAUUUUUUCUAUUAUUCAUCAUCUUACAUGGUUAUUAGGAGCGCAUUUAUUAAAGGUAUGUGGUUGGUAACCAUAAAGCUUUUUCUUUGUUCACUCAGCAAAAUAUAUUGUUUUCUUGUUGACCAACACCAUGGUCGAUAGAUAUAGAGAUAAUUGAUUGAUCUUCAGUAGUGGCUUAUUACCAUGCUUGACUUAUGAUAUAUUAUAUUUAAUCAAUCAUAUAUCAGCUUAUGCAUAUUUGACUCAAUAAAAAUAUCAUUUUCAUUAGCCACGAGGAGAAAUGUUUACACUCAAAACUUAAUUGGUCAUUGACCAACUAUAGAAAAUGGUCAAAAACAUUAGAUCGAUCAAGAUUUGAUAGUUAAUUUAUGCAUGACACUUGGAAGGGCUAUGUUCGGCCACUUGUCAUUGAUACAAGAGGCUACAUGCUAGUUUUUCUGGAAUUAACUUUCUAAAGAAAGUUAUUUGGACAAGGAGAAGUUAGUCAUGCAAAGAACCGCUAGCAACCACCAAGGAGGGAGUUACCAAGAGAAGAAACCAAACAAAAAGGGUACUUAUUGUUGAAAAUAAGUACCAAUCUGCAAUAUAAGAAGAUGAAAAAAGCUUCGUUCCCUAUCUCUUACCCUCUGCACAAACUCAUGGGCUAUUGAUGACAACACUAAAAUGAAUGAGGCUUCUAUGCCUCUCUUGUGUACCAUGGCGCGCAUCGAAAGGAUCCUGCAUCACUGACCUUGGUCCAAAGUUCUCCAACAUGAGGUCUCAUUCCGCGUUGGAAGAGAUCAACUGAGUGUCGAGAGGAUUCUGUAUCCUUGAUCCUUACUGGUUUAUCCAGUUCUCCGAUGUGACGAUUGUUCUAUCCCGGAGAAUAUCUAUCUUUUACCUAGUUAUUGUAUUUUCAUGUAAUCAAUCUUUUAUUGGUCGGUUUCUCUGCCUGUGAGUUAUUAUUGCCCUUAUUGCUUUCUUUCUAUACAUGUUCUCACCUUAUUAGAAAUUUUCAGUCCUUUCACUAAGAUCGAACCCUGUCUUCUGAUGGACCUAAUCCUACUGAUAGACCUAAUGGAUCUGGCACGGCAGCAUCCCUGUCAACCACUAGUUUAUGCUUUUCAGAAAACAGGUUCAUAGGCUAAUAGAGGUAGAAAGAAGUUUAUUAAUUUGCAAUAAAGAAUGUGAUUUAGCUAAUAAGAAGUGUGCUGACUUUUAUUGAUAUAUAUGAUAUGGUUCUUUGAAAGGUAUUAAGGACAUAGCUAAGAUGAGGGUGAGGAAACCUUGAAAUAGAAAUCAUAUUGGCUGGAUUUACAAUAGAGGUAAUAAACUGUUAGAGGAAUGUGGUGAAAUUAAGCCAUUAAGGAAGAUGGAAGGGUAUUCCUGAACAUUACUAAAAGAGCACUUCCUAAAGGAGCACAUAUUUAGGAAAAUCACAAAGAACAGUAAAGAUAAUAAGGCUUUUAUAAGAAAAUGGAACAGUGAGGCAUACAGAUUAUGGUAUUAUGAAGAAAAGGAGAGAUAGGUUUGUUAUAUAUGACAGACAUAUUCAGUGAGUUUUUAAGUUAGUAAAUUCCAAAUUGCUGGAGAAGUUGAGAAACUUGAUUACAAGAAAAAAGAGGACUGUGUAAAAUUUUAACAACCAUCCUGGAAUUAAGCUUAUAAACCACAUAAUGAAGGUAUAAAUUGAUAGCAUUUUGAAAGAGCAACAUUGAAAGUUUUAUGUUAAGGCUAUUGUCUUGCACACGCAUCUGGUGGAAUAUUAAAAUGAAGUGAUUAAAUUUUUCCUUUUUUUUGUUUGGUUAAUGUGAAAAAAGUAUAUGGUACAAUAUUGCUUGUGUUUAACUGUGAGCAUUCAAAGUAAUGCUAGAAUUUCAUUUGUAUGCAAGAAUUUCAUUUAUGUGGCAUUAAAGACAUGCUUUAACACAAUGUGGCAAGGUUGGUGCUAGUUUCUAGUUGUAUCUACCUUACGGAUUUAGCAUCCCUCUUUGAUUUGCAAUACUUGUGACGUAUGAUUGAAUAACAAGUUCUAGUUGUUUUUCCCACCAAAGCAUGUAUAACCUGGAAGCUAGUUUGAAAAUUAGAUUUUAUUAAGUUUAAAAAAGUUGGUUAUGUAAAAAUGUCUACAUCUUCAGGGAAGAUGAUACAUGUUGUGGUUAAUGGUAUAAGCCAACAGAAAAACCACUAAAAAUAUAAUUUCCAGUUGCUCAUGCGUUUCGCAUGUAUUUCUUGCUUCUUUUUAAUAAAAAAAAUCCUGCAUAUUGAUUUUAAUUUUAUCACAUGUUUCUUACUUUUGUUUCGCAAGUUGCCUUGUGCAGCCAUGUCUUUAAGAUCAGAACAAGGAACAAAUUGAAGAAAUGUAUGACAGAUUCUUUUUUUUGGGGAGAAAUUUGGUGGGGACGCGACAACUAGGGUUCGAAUCUUGGAGCUCUCCUGAGUGGAGAGGAUUGUCAACCAGCUGAUCUAAUUCUGGUUGGCUGAAAUGUAUGAUAUGUUGAACAUAAAAUUACUUGACCUAAUAAGAUUUUGGGUCUAAUUUGUAUGUAAAUAUGAAUAUUAUAACUACUGUCUGUCAAUAUAUGUCAUAUCUUUCAUUGAUUGCAACAUUUUGCAUUUAUGCAUCUUCUGAAACACCUCUCUGGCAAUAUUACUAAUAAAACUCUUAUUGAAAUCCAUCACUUGCUAGAUCUAUCAAGUCAUCUUUCUGGUCACUGGGUGAUCUAUCCUCAUAUCCUCGUAUUGAACUAACAACAUUGAUUAUUAAUUGAUUAGAAUUCCUUGAUGUCUGUUAUCUCUAAUAACACACUACUCUCCCCGAUCAGGGACCAUGCUUAUCCAAGGCCAGUAGCUAUGGCGAUGGCUCAGAUUCUGAUGGCUAUUGGACACUUCUUAUUUGCCAUGGCCUGGCCUGGAACAAUGUACAUUGGAACAUUGCUGAUUGGACUUGGAUAUGGAGCUCAUUGGGCCAUUGUGCCAGCUGCUGCCUCUGAGCUAUUUGGCUUGAAAAACUUUGGAGCCUUGUACAAUUUUCUCACUGUGGCCAAUCCUGCAGGUUCACUGAUCUUCUCAGGUCUAAUUGCUAGUGGUAUAUAUGACUACGAAGCAGAAAAGCAAGCACACAUGCAUAAUAGUUCAACAUCUUUGCUUCAGAGUUUACAUCAUGAUGCAAGUUUCCAGGUGGAGGAGCCGCUAAAAUGCAAGGGGGCCAUUUGCUUUUUUUUCAGCUCCUUAAUUAUGUCAGGAUUGUGCGUCAUUGCAGUUAUCUUGAGCCUAAUUCUUGUUUAUAGGACCAAGAUUGUCUAUGCCAAUCUAUAUGGACGUACUCGCACAUGAAGUUUUCUUUCAGGAAGAAUAUAGUCUGUACUUAAGAUGCCUUUUUUUUCUUCUCAGUACCAUCAAGCGUCAAAUUAUCCGAUUCAGAAUCCUGAUUGGUGUUGCAUCCACAUUGCAAUGUCAGAGCCAGUUUCUCCCUUAUCAUCUAUAGCUCUCAGGCAGCAGAAUUUGCUGGAAAAUGGAGAUUAAUGAAGCCUACAUAAUGUUUUUUGUUUGUUCUGUAAAAUUGUCAUUUUAUUUGUGCAGGCAUGAGAUGUCAUGCUAUCAUUGUAUAUUAUCUUCCGGAGCUUUGUUUUUUUUUGUUUAUUAUGUAUUGUAAUUUGUAGUGUCAUUAGUAUCCAUUGUUUUAUGACAUGGAAUUUGGUUGGCUUCAAAAUUGGCAUCUGCUAAUAUGUAAUGGAAAAAGGUUUUGAGGCUAGCCUCAUGGGGCUGGCCCCAAAUCUUGAAGCAAGGCACCAUCACAAUUAAAACAUCAAAGUCCCCAUCUCUCUGCACUUCCAACAUAUUAAUUUUUCCAGGCACUACCAUACAGAACAGGAGAGAUUAAAACAAACCAUAGUUCCAUGCCCGGGCUCUGCCGGUUGGAAAAAGAAAGAUCUUGUGCAUUGCACAUUCAGGACUCUAGUUUUGACGAGUAAUCAUGUGCAGGACUCUAGUUUUGAUAAGUAAUCUGGUUGCAUUUUGUUCAAAGUCUUUUCUUUUAUUGACAGUUUUCCUCUGUUCUUUUGCCCAUUUCCCUCUUUCUUUUUGUACUACAAUAGGCAAAUUUCUCUAUGCUGGUUUUGGAGAGGAUUAAUAGUCUAGCAGCAGCACUUCUUCUCCAUGGACAAAUUAAGAUGCACUUCUUCUCUAUGGAUUAAUUAAGAUGGUUUUCUUUAAUGUACAUUAUUUUCCUUUUUAUGUUUGACUGCUUCUACAAGGAGAACUAAGCUUGCAGCCAACUUACAGAGUCUUAUCUUGUAACUAUAGUUUUUCUUAAAUUUCCUUUGCAUUCUUGGAAUACAUAAUUGCAUUGCAGGUACUUAGUAGGCUCCUAUUAUGUUCUUAGUUUUCUUCUCCAGCCUAAAUGGUUUUGAUCUAUUCUGUGCCAAUUCCAAUACCAUAUAUACUUGACAGGUUUAACACUGCAUCUGAGGCCAUAAACUUGGAUGUCUCAAAACAAGUUAGUUUGUGUGUGGCACUUUGACACCAGGAGCAAAAUGGAAGUAUGAUAGUUGUGUAUGGACUUGCAAUGGAGACCAUCCCUUACCGACGAGAUUUCAUAGGUUUUCAGCUCACACAUUCUGGAUGGAUAAUUCAGUGGUAACUUCUCAUGAACAUCUAGGUUCAGCUAAGCUUCAAUUCUGAAAUAAAAGAUGAAAAGAUCAUUCCUUGAUGCAAGAAAAAAUUCAUGGACAAAGAGACUUCUAUUUUUUUGAGAUAGUACAAAAGGGCUUUUGUUCAACAACUAGCUAGUUUAUCCACUGUUGAAAUGACACAGAAUUGUUGGCAAGUCAGCCACUACAGUAAGCCUAGCUGCUGAUCUAUUUCUUGGAGUCUUCUCACAUUGUGAAAUCAAAAUCAGUUAUUAAAAGCAAUGCUUCAAACUGAAGCUGUAUGGUUACCAAGCAGUACUAUCAGUUCUUCCUAACCAUGCUGACUCCAAGCAUGCAACUAGUGUCUUGUAUCCUGACUUUAAAUCCAAUUAAGAUAGCACUUCUGAAUGCAUUAUAUGAGCAAGUUUCUUGAAUUUUGUCAACUUAGAGAUAUUGAUGGUUCAGUGGGGGAUUCUAUCUAUGUUCAAAAAAGCUCUGUUUUAUUCCCUCUAUAUUAUACAGAAGAAUUAAUGUAACAAAGGAAUGGUAAUUAAAUAUAGUCAGCCUCACAAGAAAGUACAAGUAAUUUGGUAUUAUCAUACAAACUCAAAAAUAUUUGACACUGAAUAAGGAAGUUUUCCUUCACCAACACAUACUAGCAUAUAUAUAUAUAUAUAUAUAUAUAUAUAUANNNNNNNNNNNNNNNNNNNNUAUAUAUAUAUAUAUAUAUAUAUAUAUAUAUAUAUAUAUAUAUAUAUAUGAAUUAUGUGUAGUCUAGUGAAGGGAAACAAUACCCUGGUAAGAAUAAUAAGAACAAUAAUUUUUUUAAAGAUUAUUAUUAAAGUAUGAAAAAUGAUGUAGAGGGCCCUAAAAGCAAGCAAAUGGGUGGGCCCACAAGUAAGAAAACUCCAUGCUCAGGGGUUAUGGAAUCUAAUGGGUGGCUCCAGUGCUCUCUCCCCUAGACCCAAUGUCCAAGUUAAUCUAACUUCAAAGGGUGGAGCCUCUAACCUUUCACCCUAGUUGAUCUAACCACCAGGGUAACCCUUUACCCUAACUUGGAUGCAACUUAACCCAACACUCUGCAAGGGCUAAAAGUCCUAAAGUUUCAAAGCCUCCCUUAUUUGUGGGUCCCACAUGGGGUAUUUAUUAGCAUGGAAAUCCUUCACAUGUGCUGUCCUGUUGACCUAUGUAUUCUAGUAAAAUAUCAAAAAGAAAAAUUAGGGAUUCUUCUCUAUUACUUAUAAACAGAGAUCAAAUGUUAUUUAAUAUUACAUUCAGAUUUAUAGUAAUACUCAUAUCAAAUAAUAAGCAUUUUAUUUGAUACUUUCUUAGUUGGAAUUAUAAAUUGCUACAAAAUGACCAAAAUGGCAAACCACCCCUUGGGUUAGGAGUUAACCCUUUCUUUCAUCUUACAUGAAUAAAGGUAGGUUAGGGUUAAGGGAAAUUUUUUUUAAAAAAAUAGCAGGUUGGGACCUUUUUCUUUAUUUUUCUUUCUUUUUCCUCCAUAGGUAUUUGGUAUUUGGGAAUUUUUGUUUUGAGGUCUGAGGGGGGGUUUGACUAAUGGUGUUCAAUUUCCCCCCCCAAUUUUAACAUUUUGGUGGGAAAAAAUUGGAGUUUGAGGGCUUCUCAUGCGGCGUCGCGAUUCAAAUUCCUCCAUCUACGUGGAUUCUAGCCGAAUGGGUAAUCGCUCCUUCCCUUAGAUUUCGUUCGCCCUAUCUCCUGAAUCUUUUUGUACCACCGGCUGUGGUCUCUGGGCGGAGAUCGGGCCAUCUAGGGGUUUUAGGUUUUGAGCUAAAUAGAUCGGAAUUUUCCGAGCCAUCGUCUUUUAAUUGCUUUUCAAGACCAGUGAUAUUUGUGAAGUGAUCGAAUCUUAGUUUUCUGUGGACUUCUCGGUGUUGUUUGUGCUAUUUAUUUGCUGUCAUGUAGGGUUUCGGUUUUCCAACGGCAUGGUGCUUUGGAGAUCCGAGAUCCUUGGAGAAUUAUGGAUUUUGGGACUUAAGAAGGGUGAGAAAAAUUUGGGUCUCUCUGUUUGUUAGUUUUACGAAAUGGAAAGUUACAUUUUUUUAUCAUUUUUUAAGCUUUGAUGUUCUUGUGAAAUGUGAUCUCACUGUUGCUUAAUUGACUCUUUUAUUUGGUCUUCUUGAUUGAUAGAUAUGUCAGCUUCUGAUUUGAAAACAAUCCACCAUCAGGGUUUGAGAAUUACUGGUCUUCUGAUUUUAGAUUAGGGAUUGAUGGGUGAGGAGAGGAACUGAAUGGUUGAUAUUUAUGUGUUUUUACUUGUUUUCAUUUGCAUUGUGCGCUUUAUAUGUCGUGUUUGCAAUAAGUCAUAGAAGCUGAAAUGAUGGAUUUUGAAGUUUUUCUUUUAAUCUGUUUUUGUAUUCACUGCACUUCAUAUUCUGUGCUUAUGGUAAGUUUUUGAAAGGCCGAGUGAUGAGUCCAAUGAGCUUUUACUUUGUUGGGUGCACAUCUUGCUUUAUAUGUCGUUCUUGUAAUAAGUUUCUGAGAAUCUUAAUAAAUGAUCUUCAUAUUUUUGUUUGCUUCUUGUAUGUAUUACACUUAUAUUUUUGUUCUUGUAGUAAGUAUUUGAGAAGUCAAAUGCUUAAUCUUGAUGUGUUUCUGUUUGUUUCAGUACAAGUACACUUUGUAUUUUGUGCUUGUAAUAAGUUUUGAAACCUGAAUGAUACUCUGCAUGCUUUACGUGCUUUACAUUACAAUUUACAUUUUGUGCAUGUACUUUGUUUUAGAGAAGCUGAACAAUUGAUCUUAAUAUGUUCUUACUCGUUUUGGCACUUUGCACUUUGCACUUUGUAAUUGCAUUAACUUUUCUUUUGGGUUUUGUGUUGUUUUGCUGUUUAGGAUAUGGGAGAAUUUACUAGGAUCAAUUGGUUUCAAGCAUUGAAGAAUUUAUUGUUUCAGUUAGUAGAAGUGUAGAUUGUGCUGUUGUUUGUCUUGAAUGGGGAGUUUAUACACGGGAAGACCAUUUGUGUGAGGAUAGAAGGCAGAUAAUGGAAUGCAAUAGGGAUGAGGCCCUUAGGGCAAAAGAAAUCGCUGAAAGGAAGUUCAGUGCCAAGGACAUUGUGGGUGCUAAGAAGUUUGCCCUGAAGGCCCAAAAUCUCUUUCCAUCACUUGAAGGUAUCAACCAGAUGAUAGCAACUUUUGAUGUUUAUCUCGCAACACAAGUGAAAGUAAAUGGAGAAAGCGAUUGGUAUGCAAUUCUCUGUGUGAAUGCUUCAGCCGAUGAAGAGACUGUGAAGAAACAGUACAGGAAACUAGCUCUCCAGCUUCACCCUGAUAAAAACAAGUCAAUAGGUGCUGAAGGUGCUUUCAAGCUUAUUUCUGAAGCAUGGAGUGUUUUGUCUGAUAAGAGUAGAAAAAUUAUGUAUGAUGAGAAGAGGAAUGGAAAAGGAUUCCAGCAGAAAAUUUCUCAACCAAACAGAGAUCAUUCUGUUCCUAAUUCUUCCAAUGGUUUCUACAGUUUUGCCCAGAACACAACAUCCAGUAAAAGAGCUCGGAAGAGUACCAGUGGUGUGGCUCAAUCUGCUGUCCCCCCUCCAUCUCAUCCAUCAAAACUCGAUACAUUUUGGACCUCAUGCAACCGAUGCAGGAUGCAGUAUGAGUACCUGAGAGUGUACCUCAAUCACAACCUUCUAUGUCCCAAAUGCCAUCAGGCCUUCUUGGCUGUUGAGAUCAGUGUUCCAACUAAUGCACCUAAUUCUUCUGUUUCUUAUUCAACUAAGCGGCACCAACAGAAUUCAAAUCAUAGUUCUACAAUGAAGAAUGCUUAUGGUCAUGAGAAUAACUCUGCUUUUCCAGCAACAGGACACACAGGAUUCCAGUAUGGAGCAAAUGUUGACUCCUAUAGCAAUUCAAACUUCCAAUGGGGUUCAUUUUCUAGUUCAGCUGGUGUUGCUAGCUCAACAGAUUCUGCUGCUCGGGCUGCAGAUAUGAUUCAUCAGACAUUUGAGAAAAUAAGAAGAAAAUAUGAAGAAACACAAGCAACAAUUAGAUGGGAAGAGGUUCCUCGGAAUAAGAAUUAUGUCUCAAAUAAUACUCUUGGUGGUUCUGGAAGUUAUAAUGCUAGUGCAAGUGGCAAUGCAUAUGAACAGGAACGACCUACUUCUAAGGUUGGGAAACCUGCAAAGAGAAGAAGAAAUAAUGGUGGGGACGCUGGUGUGGAUCGUGGCAGAGAUGGAACAGAAAAAAUGGCGACAGCGACUGGAAAAACUGGUGCUUCUGAACUGGAAAGGGCUAAUGGUGUUUACGGGGAUUUUGGUAAGGCCAGAGUGACUGGUAGGCAGAACAAUUUAAGCAGGGUGCAAGUUGACAUUAGGAGUAUACUGAUGGAGAAGGUUAAAGUGGCAAUCCAUAAGAAGUUGGAAGAAUGGAACUUGGAUUCUGCAACCAAAUUGACAGAGAAGGACAUGUCAAAGCAGAAACAAAACCAAAAGGCCAGUGAAAAUGUAGCAGAUACGGUUGUUGGGGAUGCUGCCGAUCAGAACCAGUUAAAUCACUCCGGAAUUGGCAAAAAACAAAUUCCUGGUAUCAAGGAUUCCCCUAAUGACCGUAGUGUAGAUUCUGAUAAGAAAGUUACCAAACCUAUAUCAAUUGAUGUUCCUGAUCCUGAUUUCAAUGAUUUUGACAGGGAUCGUACAGAAAGUUCUUUUGAAGGUGAUCAGGUAUGGGCGACUUAUGAUAAUGAAGAUGGUAUGCCCCGUCUAUAUGCCCUGGUUCAAAAAGUCAUCUCACUAAAGCCUUUUAAGAUUCGCAUGAGUUUUCUCAAUUCAAAGUCCAAUAGUGAAUUGGGUCCGUUAAACUGGGUUGCCGCUGGUUUUUCCAAGACAUGUGGAGAUUUUAGGGUGGGGAGAUAUGAAGUCAGUGAUACAGUCAAUAUAUUUUCUCACAGAGUUAGGUGGGAGAAAGGUUCUCGAGGUGUUAUUAGAAUUAUUCCUAGAAAAGGUGAUAUCUGGGCACUUUACAGAAACUGGUCUCCUGACUGGAAUGAGCGCACACCUGAUGAUGUUAUAUACAAGUAUGAGAUGGUGGAAGUACUUGAUGACUAUAAUGAGGAGCAAGGUGUGUCAGUCACCCCCUUACUGAAAGUAGCUGGUUUCAAAACAGUAUUCCAUCGACAUCUAGACCCGAAAGAGGUUAGAAGGAUCCCCCGAGAAGAGAUGUUUCGUUUUUCCCAUCAGGUUCCUUCUUAUUUGCUUACAGGUGAAGAAGCUCAUAAUGCUCCAAAAGGUUGCCAUGAACUAGACCCAGCAGCUACUCCUUUUGAACUUCUUCAAGUAAUUACAGAAGUUAAGGAAGAUGCGGUGAUGGAGACUGCUGAAUGACAGACAUUUAGUUGAUUGUGGAGUCUUUAGGUACAUUUGUUGACUUUCUAAUGUCAAACAUAGUGGACUUGUCCCAGUAUCCAACAUUCAUUGGGCUCCUAAUUUCUAUCAUGUCAUGUUUUUUCUCUUUUGGCUGAGGACUUGGAUUAAGAUGCCAGGGUGAACUUCUUGUCAUCAUUGGGCAUCUCUUAACCCCAAUCUUCUCUCAAAAAGGAGAUUAUUUGGAUGAGAUUCUCAGGCAUUGGUUUGCGGACUUGAUGCCAUAGCCUCAUUAUGGUGUUUCCACCUUUCUAUGAUUCCCAAGGUGAAUGCCUUUUUAAGUACUCGUUCCAGCUACUCGAUUUGCCAACACAGAUAAAAUUCCAGAUGUAUCCCUACCUUGUGUGUUCAUUUACUUGUUCUUAUGUAUUUCUUGGAGGCAUAUGCCAUCAUUUUCUAAUAUGUUUGAACUUCAUGAUUCCGAUUAAAGGCUGAAAGCUCAUUCAGAUUUUAUGAUAAUAUCAAGUCACUAUUCCCAGUGGUGCUUUUAUUGUGCUCAUGUUCUUUGUCUUACACGGAGCCUAAUAUGUGAAGGAUUACAUCUGUUGGCAUUUUUAGUUACAACUAUGGUUUUAAUUCAGUUUCAUAACUUGGUAUGCAGAUAUAUAUAUUGAUCAUUAUUGUCAUUAUUUGUCAGUUAUUGUCAACAGGACCAUUGACUGGUAUAUUUUCAAGUCAGAAGACUCGAAAGACUGAUUUCAUGCAUCGUUUAUGUUAUAUUUUUUAUGCCACUUGUAUGUGUUCCAAUCUUCAUAUCUUUUGACACGUAUUCUUAGUUUUCCCUUUGUCAAUCAUAUCAAGUAUUUGUGUUUGUCCAGAGCAUCACAAGUGUAUUUACUCCAACAUAUAUAGAGUUUCCUGAAAAUCUAAUCCAAUUUGUACAUCAUUUUAGCAACUUGGUCAGCAAGUUGUAUUUGGGUUGGUUUUUACAAUAUUAGAGGUCUAUUUUUGUAAAGAAUUACUUUACUGGCCACCAACAAAGAACAACCAAUUUUGUUCUUGCAUAUUGUGCGCUUGAUUUGCAUAAGUGGAAUCCUUUGUUACCGAUGUUAAAUUCUCCUACUCCUCUUGAAUUGGCAUAUUGCUUGUAUUUUUCCUUAUGAUUGUUACACUUCCGGAGCAGAAGACCAUUAUAAUUGCUGUUCUUUCUCUUGUGCUAUGAGAUACACUUAGCAGUAAGUUUUUGGCCUUUUUUCUUUUUAUGGUUAUAUAGACUAUGCAAGUGAACUGUUAUGCCUUGCUUUUCUGGGGUUUCUUCUAUGGGACUGAACUUACAGGAGGAAUGCUUGAAUGGAGCUUAUAUGUUUGUCCUUUGUUCACCUGCUAGUGGACUGACUAGUUGGUAGAGGCGUGUUUAUUGAGUGACAUAAUUAUAAUAUGACAAUGCUUUUGGACAUUGUGCUUCAUGAAUCCAUGAGACCAUGUCCAUGUCCAUUUCUCACAUGCAUAAGCCACUGGAAUUAGCUCAAAUAUGUAAUACCUAACUAUGGCUGUGGUAGAGCAUGUCAUGAAAUUAUCAUGGAUGUCAAAUCAUAAUUCCUGGUAUUUCUGCAAUUUCGGCUGGGGUUGGGGUGGUGCAUGUGUUUCUAUCUGCGAAGCACAUACUCAUUAUGCUUGGUUGUGCAGAAUGGUAGUCACAUUGUUCUGUGUUUCUCUAUUGAGUGGGCUUGGCAUGCUGAGGCUUAGCAUGCUAAACAUGGACUUUCAGUAGAAAAUUAAUUUUGGUUCCAUGUAUGCUCCAGUUUGGAAGAUGGAACUGUAAUAGUUUCAUUUCUCGUUCGUUUUAGGUUCAGUCUUUGGAGAAACUUUCGUGUUACUGUCCAUUGCAAGCGAGGUCCUUUGACAUGAUUCUUGCGAACACAUUCCAUGUCUGUCAGUGUGUGCUUGAUUGGCUUAUUGGGAUAUUUUUUUGCUUGCAGACUGACAAGUAGUUGAUCAUUUGAACAUGGGCUUAAGAUGCUCAACUGUCAAAAAUUUAGGCUUCAGAUGCUUAGCUUCGAAAGAUUGACUGUAGUUGUAUGUUACAGUGCCACCCAUUAUUUAAUUUUAUGGACUUGAAAAUGUGGGCACGUAUGGAGAACAGAUUGUUUUCUUUGCAGACCUCAAAUUUAAAGACCUCUCUACUGAUCCAUUGUUAGGCCCUGCGUUUUCUGACUUGUUACUCUUAAAUUAUCUAUCCAGAUUAUAUAAUCUACCCUCAUGUUCCCUGAUUAUUGAUUGGAAGAGUAGUUAAUAUGGUUGUCCUGUAGUUCGUACUUAUCUUUUCCUUCUAUUAGUUUAUUCUGUUCAGGCAAACUGUAACUAGUACAGCACCUUUGCAAACUUGGACUUUCAGCCUGGGAACUGAAUCAGAGGGGCUGGCAUUUAUAGUAUGUUCUAUGAUAAGUUGAAGAUAACACUUUGUUUGGAAUAUAUUCUGAGGUGGAGCAUGAUAAAGAUUUAAUUAUGAUGCACCCAAUUGUCAUAAAGGCAAGUUCUUGCUGCUCGUUGGUUACUUCAGACAGCUAGCAACUGCCUGAAAAUGGAAUGGAGUGCCUGUCUUUAAACCCACUUAGCUAUCUACCCAUCAGUUCUUGAAAAGCUUGGAGUGCUGCAAGCUAGGUUUUUUGGGUCAUGCAGUGCCUUUAGUAAUUUUAGUGUCGUCCUGAUAACUUGGGAAAAGAUUUCUUUGGAAAGUGCGAGCUCACCAAGCUGGUAAAGUUUGGUGGUUGGACCAUGGAUGGGUUGAUAUGCUGCACUCACCAAAGGCUGGAGGGUUAAGGGUAGCCAAUUGCUUAUGGAUCACUUUUAUUAAGAUCAUCAUAUCAAAAGUUAAGAUUUUUAUUUGUCUUUGGGAUCUGCAACUGAUGAAUAUAGAAAACUUUUCUGUGUCUUAUUCUUUUCUAUUUCUGGAAUAGCACAAGUUAUAUUUUAGAGUAUUCAGUGUAAAACCCUUCUCAGAGACUGCGGGGAUGAUAAAUGGUGAAGCAAUUUCACUUUCCAAUAACAUACUGGCUUCAGCAUGACUAUUAUUAGUGAUCUGUUAGUAAUUCAAGCACUUCCAGAUUUAAGGCAUGAUGAUCACAUUUAGAAACAGGUUAGUAGGAUCCUGGACUGCAUGUCAAAGAGCUUGUGUUACAUGGCCUGAGUGCUUUGUCAGUGGUUAUACUCCUCCGAGACUCCUCCAUAGUAGUUGUAUAUAUGGGUGGAACUCCCUCCUGUUACUAAACAAAAUAAAAAGAAGGAAAAAGGAAGAGCAAAAGGAAAAAAGUGGUUGUUUUACUGUAAACUAUCCAGUUCUGUUUGAUGGUCAGAUUGCACAGUUUGAAUGUUGAGGCAUUAUGAUCCAAUUUGUGACUUUACGUCAUUGAAGCAUCGGGAGUGCCAAUAUGCAAACAAUAACGGGUUAGUUCCAUUUGCCGGCCAAUUGAAGUGUAGUUUCCACUUUGCUACAGCGUGGAAUCAUUAGAAUUGGACGAGACCAAAGGCCAAGAUUGGAGAAUUCAGCCAUGCUGUUACCUUCAAAACCUCAGGUCCGAGGUGAUUUAAUAUCCGAACAGGUUUGCUCAUGAGUACUACUUGGUGCUUAGCUCGGGGUAGAAGGUUUUAAGCCUUGUCAUGUGUGCCUGGAAUUUUUCUGUAUGGUUGCAAAUGGACCAAAGAUGGUACACAAGAUCAAGAUGUAUGAUGUAUGCCUAGAGGCUCGAUCGAAGAGAUGAUGAAGCUAAGUGCUUGAUGCCAAGUCAAGGAGGCAAUGGAGAACAGGAAAAUGGCCAACUAUUCAAAUCAAGCAGGUCCAUUCUGGGGACAUCAAAGUAGAGCUGUCUGCGAGACCAAAGCCAGACUACUCUUUUUAGAAUUGAGGGGGUCUGGAGUGGGCUUUCUUUGUGACUAGUCUUUUGAGGCAAUCUAUUUGUAAUUAGUCACACAAAGCUGAUUGCCUUCAGGUCUCACAUUGUAUUCUAUUCAGUGGCAUAAAUUGGAGGUGAUUUCUUAGGUGAAGCAUAAGCCACUAUGUUGAUGGUGUGGAGAGUAACCAGUUACUUUUAGGCUAGUGGAUGUCUUCUAAUUCCCACAUAUAAUAAGAUGGGUGCUUCAAUUAUAGGCAUGCUCAAAGGAGAGGCAAAUAUAUCUUCUAAUUAGUAGUCAUCUGCAUGAUUGCAGAGAUUUUGAAAGAGGUUCUCUGCCAUUUUUUUUGGGCCAUUUGCAUGUGAUAAAGCAAGCAGUCCACCUACCAAGGUAAAGCCAUAUUGUAGUGGCCAGAGUUGUCUUCUUCCCACUCAAUGUCUUUGACCAACGCGUAAGUCCUCCCACCCCUGUUGUGUCAGUGUCAUCAAUGAUGAACUUUUGCAAAGGUGACUUUAAUGUUCUAAAGCAGUGACCUAUUAUAAAACCCAAACCCAUACAGGGUAACAGGAGAGGGGUCACAUUUGGCUGACCACCAUGAGACUGAAUGCGGUGUCAUCAAAUGACUUUUGAUGCUUGUUUCACCAAUCUGCUGAAGUUCUGCAGAUCCCUGUCCUAAUAAAUCCUAUACUAAGGCUUUCCAAGGGCUGAUAGGGUAUCAUGGAAGUUUCACAUGUAAUAUAAGUGGGUGCUGCUAUGUUACAUGUCUGCUUAGAAAGUCUUUGCCUCUUCUAGAAAUUGCAUGCACCUCUCCCAUCUUUUAAGAAAAACGCUAUGAUGAUUACAAAAAAUUAAAAAAAAGAAAAAAAAAAUACUGUGAUCAUGACCUUCAAAAAAGUAAAAUAAAAGAAACCUCAAUGCUCCCUUGUUUGUGGGACCAAGCAUCACAUACUGGUGGUCCUUGGAAGUCAGAAAAUGAUGUUUCUUGCAGGAAGAGGAGAGUAUAGAGAUUUUUUUAAAGGUUGUUAUCAUUGCACCGCUCAUGAAUUCAGUUUCCUAUGAAAGGUAUGCCUCCUUUUCCCUUAGUUACUUUUCUAUUAAUUUGUCAAAACCCAGCAAAAUAGAAGGUUAUUUUUGCUUAAAACAUUGGUAAUACUUCAGCUUCAAUGUCAACAUACAAGGGAAAAGUCUAUCAGCAUAGAGGAAUGGCUCAUAACAUGUAGGAAGUCUAAGGAGGUGACUAACCACACAGUCAAAGAGAUAAAUAGAUUUCAAAUAUGUUUUUAUGAGCCAUAAACAAGGCAAUAUUACAGAUAUUCAGAAUCUAAUAUACGAGUUCGACGAGCUACCUUUUGUCUGGUGGCCAGGAUAAAUUCUUUGCAAGUUGAAAAGAUAAUGCCGUGUAUGGGAGUUUUAACUUUCGGCAAGAACUUAGCCAUCUUAAAAUGUACUUAUUCCCUUCCCAAAAAGGAAAUCUUAUCAUAUCUUAGCAAUAUGUAGAGCAGUUUUCUCCUACAAGGAAACCAAAUCAGAAAAAGUUGCACAUAGUAUCUACUUUUUUUUUUCUUUUGAGGGAGAAAACUGGAGAAUCUUAACCUACAUUGGUUGAUUGAUCUUCUCCUAGAAGAGAAUACCUAUAUCAUUGAUUAAUACAAGAAGUUAGCACUCCAAGGUCUCAGUCACAAAGAUGGCAAACCUUGCUCAUUGGAAAUUUAUUGAACCCAUUGAGCGUGCUGAUGAAGUGAAAAGUGGAUUCUCUUAAGCAUGUUAUGAGGAGUGAAAACGGACUUGGUUCGCAGUCUGAUUCAGAAUUUCUGCACCACAAUGAGCAAGACUCCCACUUCCAGACCAAUAUCCAUACACAGCACACCCUCCCAUCAUUAGCUUCCUCCCUCGUUGCCUCUCCUUUACUUGGAAUUCUCACCUCCUCCUCAGCACUUUUGAAACAGUCCUCUCUUUUUCCCCCUCCUCUUCCUCCUCCUGUGACUUCAAAAAUCUUAUCUUUCCCCUUCCAAGUUCUUGGAAGCACCCCUCUACUAAGUCCAAAACAAAGCACAAUAGAAAAUAUCUUUUUAAGUCUAUCUCUACACAGAGAAGCCUCUAUGGAUAUGGUUCUUUGGUCUCUCCACAUCUUAUCCUCUUUCUGUUUCAUUCCUCUCCCUGUCUCUCCUAUUAAAAUCUGAGGUCUGGCCCAUUUUAGGCUCAUACCUAUUCCUGCGUCGACUACCACCAUCAAAGAACCUUUGGAGCUCUUCAGCAAAACAAAACAAAAAAAGAAAGAACCUUUGGAGCUCAGAAGGACACGGGGAGAAGUUUCUUUGCUGUGUCUCCAAUGCCAAAAACUGACCCACCUUAAAAUUCCUUCUUUUCUGAUUUGCUUUUGCUUCUCCGUUCCCCCCAUUGGAUUAAAGGCCAAAAGGUAUAACCUUUCCUUCUGGUUUCGAGGUAAAAACAGGCCCCAUUUUGAGUUUCAACUCCGUCUCUCCUAUUAUCUACCAGAAUUUUAUAACCUUUUUUAGCGGAAGAAUCAACAAUAGGCACUAAAAGAAAGUGUCUUUUGAACUCCACUGGCCUUUCUUCACCGAGAAUCCGAUGCCUGCUGCAAAAAAAGCUCAAAUUCUGUCAGGUAAAAGAGCACUACUCUUUGCUCUUAACUCAUCUCUAAUUUCGAGUCCAUGUUCUGCUCUCUUGUCAGAUAAAUAUUGAAUCCAAAUAGCCAAAAAACCAACAUUUAUCGCUCCAGUUCCUUCUUUUGCCACCAUUAUCAACGAGGCUUCAAACUCCAGAAGGUGAAAAACUAUUCUCUCUCUCUCUCUCCUCCCCCCCCCCCCCAAGCUAAUAUUUAUGUUGCACUUGUUUCAAAUUUCAACUCCAUUGCCUUCUUUUUCUUCUAAGUUUAAGCAUCAUUUUUCUCUAAACUAGAAUUAAAAACUAGUUAUUCUUGAGCUUCACUGGUGUUUGGCAGAAACUUGGGAGUCCUGUAGUAGUUAGAAUCAGAGAAGGUUAGAGAGUGGGGAAUGGACAACCAGCAGCCACACUCAUUUCCACAAGCUCCCUUCCACCACCUCCUCCAGCAGCAGCACCAGCAGCUCCAGAUGUUCUGGAACUACCAGCGCCAAGAGAUCGAGCACGCCACUGACUUCAAGAACCAUCAGCUCCCCCUCGCCCGCAUCAAAAAGAUCAUGAAAGCUGAUGAAGAUGUUAGAAUGAUAUCGGCCGAGGCUCCCAUCCUCUUUGCCAAGGCCUGCGAGCUCUUCAUUCUUGAGCUCACCAUCCGGUCUUGGCUCCACGCCGAGGAGAACAAGCGGCGGACCCUGCAGAAGAAUGACAUUGCCGCGGCGAUCACGAGGACUGAUAUAUUUGACUUCCUUGUGGACAUUGUUCCACGAGAUGAGAUCAAGGAGGAGGGGCUGGGACUGGUGGCAGGUGGCAGUGGUGAUGCUGCUCCUGGGGUGCCAUACUACUAUCCUCCAAUGGGGCAGGCUGGGUCAGGUGUGAUGAUGGGGCAGCCAGCAGUGGCUGGGAUUGAUCCAUCAAUGUACAUGCAUCGCUCGGCGCAAGCUUGGCAGCCGAUGUGGCAGCAGGGGCUGGCGGAGGAUGGGUCAUAUAGUGGAGAGGGUCAGGAUUUUGAUGGGCAGGGCUAUAUUGCUCAUCCUCCUCCCCCUCCCCCACCUCCACCCAGUUCUUAGCUGAGACAAGGAAUGGAGAAAAGGAACAGAUAUUUCAUAUUGUUUCAAGUGCUUUUCAUUGAGAUUCUGAAUCUGCAGAUGCAAUUUAUGUGACGUUGGCUGUGAUUUUUAAACUUUGAAAUCAUGUCACUUAAUUGUUAUGAAUUGCUGGAAUGAAUUGUUCUUUCUAUGAUAAGUUUCUGAUUUUGUGUCAUCCUCCUCCUCUUUUAUGUUCAGUUUUAAAACCUGUAGCUCGGUAUCUUUUACUUAUAUGAAGAAGGAAAUGUUUGUUCUGAUUCAAGCUUUCAUAUUAUGUCAUAUAAUUAGUAUGAAUUGAGAAAACAGGCUCUUAUUUCUACAGUCCAGUUUACAGUCUAAUGUUAUGAUAUCUUGUUUCCACUUGUCUUAUUAAAAUAAGAGGCAAGAUCUUUCUGUUGAAUUUCUCUCUGCAUAAGUUUUGGUUUCAAAUGAGAGACAGUCACUUGAAAUUUAUGCUUUCUUCUUCCAAGUGAUAUACUUCGCUCUCUGUAUUGUCUUGAUGCUGAAUUUUCAUUUUUGACCUCUGAUCUCAUCUCCCUUUCCUUUUAAGCUUUAUGUCAUCUCAUUAUAAUUUGCAAGAGUGAGGAAUUGGAAAAGGAGAGGAGUCUGGUGUGCAACUACUAGUCUAAUGUGUCUGAAAGUGUGCUUUUGCCUGCUUUUUCAGAAAAAAGUCUAAUGUGGAUUAAAUACAGUUACCCUUAUGUCAUAUGAAAGAUGAAAUGCUGUUAUAGCUUGGAAGUUGAUUUAUCUGAAAGUGCUAUUUACUUUCAUCGGUAUAGAGGCUUUUUCUUUGCUACUUCACUGUACGCAUUCAUUUAAAGUUGAUUCUUCUUGUAGUUUAUUUUGAAUGGCUGGCUAAGAUGUUUUCAUCUGACUAAAUAUUCAUAGAGAAAGCUUUGCAGUUAUAUCGUUUUAUUUGAAUGAAUAAAAAAAUAAAUAUAAUUUCAAUCGAGAAAAACUUCCCUUUCGUUAUCUGCCAUUAGAACGACAAUCUCAGAGAACAAUCAAAUUAUUACUAUACUGCAGAUAUUGAUCUAGGCAGAACUCAGCUACCUUACAUAAUGCUGAAGCUACACAAGGAUUUUACAGCUUAGUGCUUGCACAUGAACAGUGCAGGAGAAGCCAUAGUACUGGAAUCUCUUAAAAAGCCCGGGCCCAUUAUCAGACCUAGCACAAAGUUGCCAUUGAUGGGACUAAAGUGAGGUCAAAUAUUCUAUAUGGAGAAUGAUAAUUUAGGAUAUAAUACCUGUUCUAACUUUGAUGAACAAUUAACUGCACUGGAUAUUAUACAAAACUGGAAAUGUAAAUUCUUUUGUUGAAUCAUGCAAAACUGGAAUGCACAGUCCUAAAGUCAAUGGUAAAAGUUAUUUUUCUUCCUAGGAUAUUUACCUGUUUUAACUUGGACGAAUAAUUAAUUACACUGAGGAUUUCCCUAAGUCCAUCGAGGAAAUAAAAAUUUUGGCAAUGCAAAAUUCUUCCAUUGAAUUAUAUAAUACCAGAACGCACAGUUCUAGCCUGACACAAUUAUGAGAAGUUCUACGACUGAAUAGCAGUCAUGGAAGUAGCAGGAUCCAAACUAGUUUAAGCUGUGGAAGUUAAAUGGCUGAGGAAACAUGGGGACAGUAUGCAUAUACAAAUUAGUUUAAGGAUAUUGUGUUAAGUCUAAUAUCAUAUUUUAUUCAAAACCUGUAUAAGAUCAUAACUGAUAUAUAGUCUCAGAAUGAUUCGGAUUGGUGAAUAAUGGAACAGGCCAUAGAAGCUAUAUGAAUACUUAUAAAGUCAAAUCCCAACUUUUGGCUAGUUUAUGUGGUAGAAUUUAAUCAUUAAGCAUUGAAACUAUAAGCAUGUCAAAGUCAUAAGCAUGUGCAGGCAUGUAAUUCAUCACCUGGUCAUGGCAUAUCUGCUGAAAUAUCUUCAUUUAAGAGCUAGACCAUAAAUGCUGCGUUGACAAUCCCAUGGAUAGCUGAGAAACAUCUUGAAAUGAAAAACGAUAAAUCCUUAAUACAUUUCUGUAAUUGAAGAAGCACUUUGCUUCCAACCCCAGUCACUUCCAUUUGAUGAUUUAGAUAAAAGUGACAUGCAAAAAGCAGCAUUAUUGCUGUUGAUGAUAAAAUGAAAAGAGACACUCUUUCACUCAUGGGCAUUAAUAUCUCGCGUGAUCUCUUUCACAAAGAUGACUGAGAUACUUUCUAAGCCUUAAGCAAGCACUCAUAUGGAUCACAAUAGUUUAGAAUGUGGAAUCUUUCCUUGAAUUGCAUAGCCAUUAUUCUCACUGGUAGCCAUUUGACUGUGCAUGUCCAUAUUUAAAGUAUGAAACUUCCAACUUCGAAGCAAUAAAAUGAACUUUCUGUUGAGCUGUCGAAAUAUGUACAUGCAUACCAUACUACAAAAUGCAAAAUAGAAACACAAGAAGACUUGAGUUUACUUCCACUAUCAUAAUAAUUGUGGGAUGAAAAAACAUGCUGGCUCAAUUUAGUUUCUUUGCUUGUAACUUUUAAAACACAUUUAGAAGUGGUAAGAUUGGAAAUAUGAUUUGGCAUCACUUAAUGAUGUAUCACUGUAGUUAUAGGUGUCUAGGUUGCUCCAAAACAUGGAUUGAUUGUAAAAAUAUCAGAAAUAUAUCCUUAAUCUUUGCAGCUGAAGCAGUCCAGCACCUUUUAGGGACAGCUCCACUAUUCUCACUUUUUUUGUUUCUUCUCUUUGGGUUCAUCUCCAGUUUUUGUUGUGUUCUAGUUACAACAGAACUCUCAGACCUCUCUUCGAUGCCAUGCAUGCAACCACACCUACUUUGCUGCUAUAGAAUGACCAUGGAUUCAAACAAUCAAAUGCUGAUGGCUCCAAAAUUUAAUUUGAACCAUGUCUCUUUGAGGGGAAGAUUUUAAUUUAAGCCUUGGCUUCUGUGGUGACAAAAGUUGGGAGACUGGAUUAAGAUUUCCAAUGUUCCUGUCAAGGUUGGAAGGCGCCAAUAAUGGAGAACUCCAGAUUAAGAACAUACCAUCUCUGCUGGAGAACUCCUGCAUCAGUGAGGACGCAUCGGAGAGAUAAAUUGUUGAGCAUUUGUUCAGGUCCUUCGUGUCUAAUCACCCUGUUAUCUUAUUCAUGAGAUAUCUUUUCUGAAGAUGGGAAUUUGCUAAGUAAACGAGGCAAAGGGAGAGUGGCCAGAAGAAUUGAAGCAGCCAUUGCUUCUCCAUUCCUGAAUAUUUGGGAUGAUAAACUCUAGUUAAAAAAUGUUAUUUCCAACACCCAGAUAAUCUGAGGAUAAGAGAUUGUAUCCUGUACUUGGUAAGAGAUCACAACCUCCUCUUGGGGUCCCUAUCGCAUUGACAUCUUGGAUUUGUGAGAGGAGGGAUUAGAAUUUCUUUUUUUUGAAUUUUUCCAACAACUGAUUGAAUCCAAUCCUUGGUUAGAGUUUGCAAACCCUCUGAUCAGAGCCUCCAUCCUCGCAUGGCUGAAUUUCUAAAUUAGAAGAGUUCUGUUUGAUAUUUUUACUUACUGAGUUCAGGAUAUUUUGUAGUCGAGUGGAGUAGUUUGAAAAAGUUCUCAAAAAAAAAGAAAAAAGAAUAAUUGUUUAAAAAAGUGACUGACAAAAUUUAAAUAAAAUAUUCUAAAAUUCAAAACUCUUAUUCUUGUAAUAUAAUAUAGAUAAGUGGACAAAAAAAUAUAUAUAAAGAGAUAUGGAGAGAAUCGAAGGACAGUGAGGCCACUGCUAUCCAUUACCGAGUGUUUUGGAAUAUACUGAAAUUAAGCUAAACCGGUGACUUCCAAUAUCCAGAUAGCCUUGGGUUUAUGGGAUAACCCCCACCAACCCUCCAAUAUAACAUCCUCCCACCCUACCAUUCCCACCUUUCACCUCUGUGUGAAAUCUCACACUGAUAAGCUGCCUAGCCACCCCAAUAGGCCCUCAAAAGUUGCAAACAACCAGAAGGUGAUUUAGGCUAUGUUCUUGUAACUCAUACGACGUCCUAGUUAUGAAUCUGUUCAUUUCGUCACCAAGGUUUUGGACUGUUUAAAUCAUGGAAAAGGUCCUUGGAUGAGUUAUGGAACAAUUGAAUUUUCCACUCUUUAAAGUUUGAUGAUAGGAAAGUAAUCUAGAAGCGAGUCUUGCAAAACCAAGGAACAUUCUUUUCCUUUCCAAGGAUUUCUGAACAACCAAAAAGAACCUUAACAAUGACUCUUUUCAGAUCAGAACCAAACAACUCAGUACUAACAAGAGAGAACAAAAGCUGAAGCUACAAACAAGACGGUCUAAUGAAGUGGAAGACAGCAAAAGUUUUCGCUUCCUCUGAACCAUCAUGGAAGCAGGACCACGAGCAAACCUUGGAACCCUUCACAGAACCCCCUUAAACAUCGCUGAUGAUCCAAGGCUCCUGCAUUAUGGAAGAUGAUUGAGAGGCCACCAAAGUUUCAUUUUCAGAUAAUAGUCUAUCUGUAUUCCACCAAGACCAAGCUCAGCCACACGCCCAAGGUAUCCCUCAUCUUUUUCUUUUUAUGCUUUCUUUGCACAAGGCUAAAGAGGUAAACAUCCUAAUGCCCCCACUUGACAGCAUCAAAAUGCAAGUUGAACAGAUUAUUUUUUCCAGGUAGGAAGGAAAUAAAAGGGUGACAGUGCUAAAAAAUAGAAUAGUGGUCUGAUCAAAAUUAACAUGCUUCAAUAUUUCUAAAAGCCCAAGGCAGCAGGAUAUAAAAGUCUUGCAUAUAACCAUGCUUCCAAGUAGAGAUGCAGGACAGUAUUUGCAGCCUAUGGUAUUGUGCCACUACUACAUCUAGAUUAAGAUCCAAAGACCAACCUAAACAUAACAUUAAACAGCCAAUGUGCCCCUCUCAUCUAUCAAAUCAUAAAAAGCUACAGAUGUGCUUUUAAUUGGGUCUACCAUGCACAAAUCUAGAUUUCAGGGCAGCACCAUCAUGCCCCUUCUGCAAGAGUCCUUUUUGAGGUGCUGAUAUAGAGAACUGCAUCCACAAGAGAGGAAAACAAAAUUCAAACCACAUUCGCCAGAAAAAUACAGUAAAGAACACGGAUGAUGUAGAAUUAGAGAGGAUACCAUUAUUUCCUCUGAUAAAAGCAUCCCCAUAUUUGUUCUUAAGUUGACCGUUGACAUAUUCUUCUGUUUGUUCCAUUGCAAUAUUCAUAUAUCCAUCCAAACAAGCUAGAAUACCUGCAUGAGAAGCAUAUGAUUGCUAAACAAGAGGAUCCAGGAAGAGCAUACAGUUUUCAGAAGAUCUAGGAUAUAACUGCUCAAGUGAUGGCAUUGGUGCAAUUGCGCAUUGACAAGUUCAUCGGUAGGUAAUAUAGUUUGUGAUUCUACAAAUAUAAACUGGGUCAAUCACUUGACAUAAAGGCUUGAUUUUUGCUGGGUGCAUGGAACAAAGGAGAGAAUUCAUUAUAAUCAGUAAAGGCUGGGAAGAAAAUUCCCAAAAAAAAAGAAAGAUGAAAUGGUAUUUAACAUAAAAUUACUAAUAAUUUAUUGUUAUUGGUUCCACAAUACUGAAUGGUACAAACUUAAAAAUUCAGCUGUCUGGAAAACAGCAGGUUGUAAGAAUUAAGACAACCACGACAUAGAUACUAAUUCCAUCCCAAAGGUAUGGUGCUAAGUUGCAUCAAGGGAUGCUGGAUUUAUUCUGAUAUGAGAUGCUCUGCACUGAAUAGGUAUCACAGUUAGUCAGCGCAUAUAUUAAUCUAUCUUGAUAUCCUUCUUUUGGGAUUUUUUUUUCCUUCUGGUUGGGAUAAGUUGUACAGCAUCCACGAAUGCAUUCCAAAUGGAUAAAGACCAAAUGAGAAAUCUAACAUAGAGGGCUUUCUUUCGUUUUCUUCUUCCUUUCUUUUUUCCAAAUUUUUGUCUGAUGAGGAUAUAUUUGAAAUAAAGGAACAAGAACAUAAUGCCACAUAGGGUAGAAUCCAUGGAAGUAAACAUUAAGGGCCACAACCUUAGAAAGAUCACCUGGCGAAAGAUUGGCUAAGAAAAUUGGCAAAAAGGAUAUAUAUAUAUAUAUAUAUACACAUGACAUCUUCACAAUAAUGUCAAGCUACCAGUGUCUCAUAGGCCCACUGACCCAAGAUGUCAUUUCGUUACUCCUCCAACUAUUAGUGGGAAAGUGAAAGAGCUUGCAUGGUCUUAAGCAAAUAAAUGAGGCCAUCACAUAAGCCUCAAUCAAAUAAAGGACUAACUUAAAAGCAAGAUGAACAUUGUCAUAUAAAAAUCUAACUGACAAAGCUGGAGGGGCCCAAACAACUAAAAGAGUCCUCAACAAAGCUGGCAAGUUGAAAUUUUGGUUUAAGGUUAUGUAUAAUGGGUCGAUAACAACAAAUUUCCUUCCAAGUUCUAUGCCAACUCAGAAAACAGAAUCUAGCUUCGUUGUAUUGAUCUUUAUAUGAGUUUUUUCUAUUGAAGAGGAAGCUGUAAUUAUCGGCAAUCUCCAUGUAUCCCUUGUUAGAUUUUCUUGAUAUUUCCUAUUAGUAUUGAUAGAGCUAUAGAGAAUUUCUUGAGCCUCUAGGUUGGAAGUCGAGAAAGAGACCUCCUUUUAUGUGGUUAUGCUUUUGGCAGGCCUCCACUGGUUUUGACUGUUUUAAGAACUUCUUCCAUGUUUUCAACCCUUUCUAUGCAUUUUUUUAGUCUAGGUUGCUCUACAUGUUUCUUUCCUUCAAAUCCUUCUGUCACAAUCAAGAGGCAAAGGAGUGGUACCUUGGCUUGGCCCAUUCCAAUUACAAACUCCAAAAUGCUUAAUCUGAGAAGUCUUGGAAAGAUUCUAUUACUCACCUCACUUGGUGAUGAUGGGCCAAGAUGUGUGGCUGGCAGGAGCGAUCCUGGCUCAUUGAUUGACCCAGAAGAUGGUUUUGGUAGAAUCCCAAUUACUUACACUAGUUUGGACUCGCAAGGAUCAGUUUUGGGUCUAACAUUCACCUUUAUCUGUGGUGCAGAGUGAGGCGGUAAGUUCUAGAAUGGCUGCCCAAUGAAUUUAUGAUUUCCUUCAUAAAGAGUUGAUGUUCCUGAGCUUAACGGAAAUCUCAGAAGUCAAGAUGUCAGCAUCCACAUUUGAUGCCUUAUAUCCGACCAGAGUAUGAAACUUGACAGGUUGGGUUGGGGCCAAGGGUGGCCAAGGAGGAGCAGGCCUUAAUUCUCAUGAUAACCACUUGCCCAUGGUGGCCAAGGAGGUGUCAAAUUAGUCCUCAGUCAUAUAUGUUCACCAGGGAUGCCAAAAGAAAAUUCACCAUUCUUUAUGUAUUCAAUGUAAUCAUGGCCAAAUUUAGCACAUUUUGUCUAUUUUCAUCACAUGUCUAGAUAAAACAGUAAUUCGAGCAUUAGGCCAUAAUAUGAAUGAAGAGAUAUGCUCCUUGAAGAGAUACGUUAUUUACACUUUAUUUAGAGUUGUUAAACUUCAAGGACGACCAUCCCUCUGACCUCGAAAAUGAUCAUGUUCUCUAUAAAAAUGUUGGAAAAUGUUUUGCUUGAAAUCUUGGCAAUCAUAAUGGACCAAAAUUGUUGUAUCUUUAAUGUUUCAUAAGACAGCCUCAGCAUAUCGAUAACUGACUUGUGCAAAGCCAAAUAUGAUCAGUGCUCUCAUGACUUUGGACUAAAAAAUGAUUUGAAUGAUAAACCCUUUUAUCCUUCAUGGUGAAGUUGGAAGGUUACCUGCAAGGAUACCAAAGGGAAAAUGUGUGAUUUUUUGGUUAAACAAUAAACUGUAUAUGCCAAUGCUAGCUUGGCUCAACACAAUGGAGGAGUCCAAAGAUCUCUCCCAUUAAGAUCUCCUCUUAUAACAAGAAAAAUUUAUUAAUUCCACUCUGAUGCUCAGGCACUAGCUCUGGUUUCUUUUUGCUCUCUGACAAGAUUCCAUGGUCAAUUCAUAAAAACUACUCAACAAUACAAAAGCAGCCUGAGAUAGCUAGAAGCCUAAACUAAACUUGACCUUCUAAUUACUUGUACGUAUAUAGACCCAUCCUGACACAAAUUUCCUACCAAGAUCCAAAAAAAAGUGGACUACAAACCAACUCCUACUCCUAUCUUUAAUGACUGCCAGCAAACUCACUAACUUUUUGCCUUUGAACUAACACUUUCUCAGAUUGGAUUUUUCCAGCUUCAUCUUAAUUCAGAUCCUUCCAAAUUCAUUUAAAAAUGAAGUACAAAGCUAGCAUAAACACAAAAAUAUAGCUCUCAAUAGGAAGGGAGCAAAGAAGGAUGCAUAAAGGUGAACCCUCAUCAAUGAGAUAAAGUUUGUUGUUUAUGGAUUCAGGCUUAUAAUUUUUGUUUAAAAGGAAAUGAUUUCAGAUAGAGUAGGAAAAAUAUCCCAAAACAUAUAAACAACAAACAGAAUCCAUAUUAAUGGAGAAGAACAAACAGGACCAUCAUUCUUAUACUGAUGGAGGAGAACAAACAGGACGGAUGCAUGUGGAAACAAUAGUCUUUAGAUAUGAGAAGGCUAUGAAACUACUAGACAUAGUACCAUGAAAGAAGUAGAAGAGUUCAGCUCAAGGUUGCCAGAAUCGUCCCGAACCAGGCAGUUCCGGUCGUACUGAGCCACUCCGGCGGCAGACUGGAAUGGUUCCGGCAACGAAAACGAAAUCCGUUGCCGAAGCAGGAGAAGGAGAAGAAAAUAAAAAAAAGAGAGAGCGAGCGGAGAGGGAGGGAGAGGGGGAGGAAGAGAGAGGGAGGUGAAGGCCAAAGAGAGAGAGAGGUGAAGGCCAGCUGGCGAGACGCGCGAAGGACGCUCCUUUAGGCUCUACAGCCGAAAAACAGGUCGGGUCACCGGCCUCCAACGGCCCUCCGCACUUCCCUCUCUCCCCCUUCUCUCUCUCUUUUUCUCUCUCUCAUUCGCCCUCUCCCCCGUCUCCUCUAUUGUGUUGGUACAGGCCCGACACGACACGACACGACACGGCCCAUACCAACCCGUGCCGCCGGAAAACUAGGCCGGGGCCCGAUACUGGCGCAGCAGACCAUGGUUCAAUUGAAGGAUAGCCCGAAUGAAACCAGCCCACAAAUGUUGAGGACUUAGUCUUGGUGCUUAUUCUUGAUUUCUAACAUGCAUCAACACAAAUAGCACAUAUAUAUGAUAAUAAAGUCACACUUUUGAACAUCAUUUGAUAGCAUGAAAAUUAGCAAAGAAAAAAUUGGAGAGGAUGUAUACAUUGGGAAUAGUCCAUCUCAACCACAUAUACAUCUUGUUAAAAGAGAAUAAACCUUAAGAAUCUAACAAUCACAUAAUCCUGUCAUAGAAUUAAAUUCGAAUGCCUUAAUAUGACAUUAUGGGUAAGGGUAAUAGGAUAUUGACUUAGUCAAUUAGAAGAUGUAUCGUAAGUUCCAUCUAAGCAGUAAGACAAGGCUUGUAUGAUAUGCCAAAAAAUGUAGUGAACCAAAGAAACUGAACGAUGGGAAAGUGUCAUGUUGUCAGACAAGUUAGGAUAGUGGGAAAUGAGGUCAGUUUCUAAAAAGCAGUUGUGGAAGGCUAAUUCACAUUGAGAAAGGACACUACAACCAGACUUUCUUAGGUGUGGAAGGAUACAUAUAUAAGCCAUCACAAAUUAAUUAGUAAAUGGUGUAGAAGUACUAAUGAGGAACGAUAAUAUGUGGUGCACGGACCCCUCCUGUAAUGAUGCAAAUCAUUACUUACCAGUAAAAGCAAUAUGGGCCUUGUGAAUGAGGAAAAACCAUUGAGAGGUUAAUACAGUCAAGCUAGUGGGUAUUAUUGGCAUGCUUCAGCUUAACCAUGUUAGAAUUUGAAGCAAUAAGUAUAAAAAAGUAAUGAAGCUGAAGUUGUAAGGCAGUUUCUCAACAAAUUCAUAAUAAUGCUUAUCAAUUGAACAAGAGAUUAAAGAUCUCCACGGCCACAAGCAUUCGAAACAGAUAACUUUAAUUAGAACCCAGGCCUUUAUAUAAGUUGUUCAUGGAAAGGAGACAUAUCCUUGAUCAAUUGCAAAGCAAAAUGCCCUCUUUAUAAUCCAACAGUUCCCUGCAAAGUAUACUAGUAUUGGUUGCUAAGACUCGUUUCUUGAUUAGGUUGUGUUUACAACUACAGAUCCUAGUGUGAAGGAGGAUGUAAAAUACCAUGAAAAGCAACAUACAUUUGAGUGAAAGCAAGAUAGCAUUUUGAACAUGAAAAAACAUAAACACUGAGAGAAUAUGGCAAUGGACAUUUCUAAAAAUGUUCCAGAUAGGAUAAGGGUUGUUCUGCUACACAAUAUAGGAAUCUAGCUUUUGCAGAUCUUGCAAAAGCAUCAAGCAAUCCUAUGAAAUUUAAUCUAGGAGCCAUCAAUCUUGCUAUAUGAUCAUCCAUCAAUCUUAUCUUUUACUACAAAUAAAAUAUGGUUAAAAAAGGAUUGAGAAGCAUACAUCCCCCAAAUUGUUGUCACAUGCUUUUCAAAUUCAUACUCCUCCCUCCUCGAUUUACUGUUUGCAUGCCCUGUGCCAUAGUCAUCUCUAGCUAGAGGCAACCUUCGAGCCUUUAUUUGCCAAAACGGUAUAGACAUAGGUUCACCACCUUGAAAUCUUCUAGGAAUCCUGUCUACUUUCGCACUUCAGGAGGAACGUACUUCUAUAUAUCCAACUCUAAUGACCCUUCAUAUCCUCAGAGGAAUAACAUUAAAGUUUUUAAGUGAUUAAGAGACAAGUUUAUGUCCCUUCCUAUCCAAGUCAUACAUGAAUGUAAAAGUGGAAACUACAGAAGGUGGAGUUCAAUGCUGGAAA
RNAcentral lists this long non-coding RNA (31228 nucleotides) under Phoenix dactylifera (date palm). RNAcentral describes it as "long non-coding RNA (PDAC_LNC003274)". Lineage: Eukaryota; Viridiplantae; Streptophyta; Magnoliopsida; Arecales; Arecaceae. The record is from RNAcentral.